Molecule: ribosomal RNA, 244 nt
Filed under: uncultured bacterium
Lineage: Bacteria
Description: partial 16S ribosomal RNA
Rfam family: Bacterial small subunit ribosomal RNA
Source: RNAcentral
GAGGAUGCGAGCGUUAUCCGGAUUUAUUGGGUUUAAAGGGUGCGUAGGCGGUAAAUUAAGUUAGUGGUUAAACGGUCGGGCUAAACCCGAUUUUGCCAUUAAUACUGGUAUACUGGAGUCCAGACGAGGUAGGCGGAAUAAGUUAAGUAGCGGUGAAAUGCAUAGAUAUAACUUAGAACUCCGAUAGCGAAGGCAGCUUACCAGACUGGGACUGACGCUGAAGCACGAGAGCGUGGGUAGCGAA